AUCCUGAGAGAGAAACUUUGCUUCAAAAGAGGGGGAUACACACAAGAAGAAUAAUUGCAUUUGAUCCCAAAGACUGGCAUAGACCUCUUUGUUAAUGCCCAAUAUCUUUUGUCUUAAGAUUUGGUGUAAAAUUG
This 134-nucleotide small nucleolar RNA is filed under the name Jaculus jaculus (lesser Egyptian jerboa). Its description in RNAcentral is "Small nucleolar RNA SNORA81 (ENSJJAG00000001898.1)". It matches the Rfam family "Small nucleolar RNA SNORA81". The record is from Rfam by way of RNAcentral. Lineage: Eukaryota; Metazoa; Chordata; Mammalia; Rodentia; Dipodidae.